RNAcentral lists this transfer RNA (68 nucleotides) under Marmota monax (woodchuck). RNAcentral describes it as "tRNA.Val". It matches the Rfam family "tRNA", at positions 6 to 65 of the family's 71-position model. From Rfam's summary of the family: Transfer RNA (tRNA) molecules are approximately 80 nucleotides in length. Their secondary structure includes four short double-helical elements and three loops (D, anti-codon, and T loops). Lineage: Eukaryota; Metazoa; Chordata; Mammalia; Rodentia; Sciuridae. The record is from RNAcentral.
GGAUGUAGCUUAGUUGGUGGAGUGCUUGUCUCACAUGCACAAAGCCCUGGGUUCAAUCCCCAGCACCA